AAUCAACGCUGGCGGCGUGCCUAACACAUGCAAGUCGAACGCGAAAGUGGAGCAAUCCAUGAGUAGAGUGGCAAACGGGUGAGUAACACGUGGGUGACCUGCCUUAGAGUGGGGGGAUAACGUCCCGAAAGGGACGCUAAUACCGCAUAACAUGCUGCCUUUUAAGAGGUGGACAUCAAAGCCGGGGACCGCAAGGCCUGGCGCUUAAAGAGGGGCCCGCGCCUGAUUAGCUAGUUGGUGGGGUAAUGGCUCACCAAGGCAACGAUCAGUAUCCGGCCUGAGAGGGCGGACGGACACACUGGGACUGAGACACGGCCCAGACUCCUACGGGAGGCAGCAGUGGGGAAUUGUUCGCAAUGGGCGCAAGCCUGACGACGCAACGCCGCGUGGAGGAUGAAGAUCUUCGGGUUGUAAACUCCUUUCGAUCGAGACGAAUGGCCCUUGGGCUAACAUCCUGAGGGAGUGACGGUACCGAGAGAAGAAGCCCCGGCUAACUCCGUGCCAGCAGCCGCGGUAA
Molecule: ribosomal RNA, 517 nt
Filed under: uncultured bacterium
Lineage: Bacteria
Description: bacterial SSU rRNA
Rfam family: Bacterial small subunit ribosomal RNA
Source: RNAcentral